RNAcentral lists this ribosomal RNA (422 nucleotides) under uncultured bacterium. RNAcentral describes it as "partial 16S ribosomal RNA". It matches the Rfam family "Bacterial small subunit ribosomal RNA", at positions 360 to 774 of the family's 1533-position model. The record is from RNAcentral.
AAUAUUGGACAAUGGGGGCAACCCUGAUCCAGCCAUGCCGCGUGUGUGAUGAAGGNCUNNGGAUUNUNAAGCACUUUAAGUUGNNNNNAAGGGCUUUAGNUUAAUACCCUGAAGUUUUGACGUUACCAACAGAAUAAGCACCGGCUAACUCUGUGCCAGCAGCCGCGAAAAUACAGAGGGUGCAAGCGUUAAUCGGAAUUACUGGGCGUAAAGCGACCGUAGGUGGUUCAGUAAGAUGGGUUUUAAAUCCCCGGGCUUAACCUGGGAACUGCUUUCAUAACUGCUGAGCUAGAGUACGGUAGAAGGUAGUGGAAUUUCCUGUGUAGCGGUGAAAUGCGUAGAUAUAGGAAGGAACACCAGUGGAGAAGGCGACUACCUGGACUGAUACUGACACUGAGGUGCGAAAGCGUGGGGAGCAAACA